CUACAUAAUAACAAUAUUUGCCAGUGG
Molecule: small RNA, 27 nt
Filed under: Bombyx mori (domestic silkworm)
Lineage: Eukaryota; Metazoa; Arthropoda; Insecta; Lepidoptera; Bombycidae
Description: ovarian small RNA-14610
Source: RNAcentral